Molecule: small RNA, 62 nt
Filed under: Flavobacterium sp. 102
Lineage: Bacteria; Pseudomonadati; Bacteroidota; Flavobacteriia; Flavobacteriales; Flavobacteriaceae
Description: Flavo-1 RNA
Source: RNAcentral
AUUUAGCCCCGACAGGAGUGACAUCCCGAUUAUUCGGAAUAAAACGUAGGGCGGGAAUAUGG